GGGUGGUUAGCUCAGCUGGGAGAGCAUCGCCCUUACAAGGCGAGGGUCACUGGUUCGAUCCCAGUACCGCCCACCA
RNAcentral lists this transfer RNA (76 nucleotides) under Marinobacter sp. Its description in RNAcentral is "tRNA-Val". It matches the Rfam family "tRNA". Rfam says of the family: Transfer RNA (tRNA) molecules are approximately 80 nucleotides in length. Their secondary structure includes four short double-helical elements and three loops (D, anti-codon, and T loops). Further hydrogen bonds mediate the characteristic L-shaped molecular structure. tRNAs have two regions of fundamental functional importance: the anti-codon, which is responsible for specific mRNA codon recognition, and the 3' end, to which the tRNAs corresponding amino acid is attached (by aminoacyl-tRNA synthetases). tRNAs cope with the degeneracy of the genetic code in two manners: having more than one tRNA (with a specific anti-codon) for a particular amino acid; and 'wobble' base-pairing, i.e. permitting non-standard base-pairing at the 3rd anti-codon position. The record is from RNAcentral. Lineage: Bacteria; Pseudomonadati; Pseudomonadota; Gammaproteobacteria; Pseudomonadales; Marinobacteraceae.